RNAcentral lists this ribosomal RNA (447 nucleotides) under uncultured bacterium. Its description in RNAcentral is "bacterial SSU rRNA". It matches the Rfam family "Bacterial small subunit ribosomal RNA", at positions 330 to 793 of the family's 1533-position model. The record is from RNAcentral.
UCCAGACUCCUACGGGAGGCAGCAGUGGGGGAUAUUGCACAAUGGGGGGAACCCUGAUGCAGCGACGCCGCGUGGGUGAAGGAGCGUUUCGGCGCGUAAAGCCCUCUCGGUAGGGAAGAAGGAGGACGGUACCUGACUAAGAAGCCCCGGCUAACUACGUGCCAGCAGCCGCGGUAAUACGUAGGGGGCAAGCGUUAUCCGGAUUUACUGGGUGUAAAGGGAGCGUAGACGGCAGGGCAAGUCUGGAGUGAAAGCCCGGGGCCCAACCCCGGGACUGCUUUGGAAACUGCCAUGCUAGAGUGCUGGAGAGGUAAGCGGAAUUCCUAGUGUAGCGGUGAAAUGCGUAGAUAUUAGGAGGAACACCAGUGGCGAAGGCGGCUUACUGGACAGUAACUGACGUUGAGGCUCGAAAGCGUGGGGAGCAAACAGGAUUAGAUACCCUAGUAC